RNAcentral lists this ribosomal RNA (215 nucleotides) under uncultured bacterium. Its description in RNAcentral is "partial 16S ribosomal RNA". It matches the Rfam family "Bacterial small subunit ribosomal RNA", at positions 309 to 525 of the family's 1533-position model. The record is from RNAcentral.
CGCCCGCCGCGCGCGGCGGGCCUACGGGAGGCAGCAGUGGGGAAUAUUGCACAAUGGGCGCAAGCCUGAUGCAGCCAUGCCGCGUGUGUGAAGAAGGCCUUCGGGUUGUAAAGCACUUUCAGCGGGGAGGAAGGCGAUACGGUUAAUAACCGUGUUGAUUGACGUUACCCGCAGAAGAAGCACCGGCUAACUCCGUGCCAGCAGCCGCGGUAAUA